Molecule: long non-coding RNA, 944 nt
Filed under: Lotus japonicus
Lineage: Eukaryota; Viridiplantae; Streptophyta; Magnoliopsida; Fabales; Fabaceae
Description: long non-coding RNA (LJAP_LNC000936)
Source: RNAcentral
UUGUUACUUGUUAGUUUGAAUGUUGUUCAUGAAUCAAAAAUAGCCGUACGAAACCCUAAUCCCAAAUGUUGUUCUGUACAUGAAAUUCGCAUGUUCUUCGCAGUGCCCAUGGGGCUUUCUAUUUCAUUGUAUCCCAAAGAUUCUGGUUGUGACUUUCCAUUCAAUUUGAGAACAAAUUAAGGAUUCUAAAAUUUCAUAAUAUGGUUUUAUUGAUUCUAAAAUUUUGCUCCAGUUCCAAGUUUUUUCUAUCAAUCUUUGACUUUGUUUAUGAUGUUUUUGCAGAUUUCUCAUGUCUGGACAGGGAAUGGUACUGAAAUUGAAAUUCGCUAUGAUGCACCCCUCGGUCUUCGAGUGUUAGACAAGUGGCUAAUGUUGUUUAGGCAAUGGCCAGCUUCAUUGUUCUGAAUAUCAAUACCUCCACAGGUGAGUUUAAUUUAGCUAAAGCUGCAUGCAAAUUCAUUUUUCUGGUGUUGAAUUGGAUUUAUCUUUUAUAUAAGUACUAAUUUAAGCUAAAUGUUGUAGUUUUCUGGUGUUGAAUUGGACUCACUGUAGAUUUUGUAGCUUCAAGUUAUAUACUUAUUGCUUCUAUCAUUUAGAAGAACAUAUGUUUGCUUCAUUUUACAUUUUAUUAGUCAUACAAUGAGCCUAAGUUUGCAUAUAAAGAAAAUCUAGUUUUUGCUCAGCUCUUUAUUAAGUUUAACUAAAUCUAGUUGUCCAAUGAGAGUACCCAUGGCUAGAUGGAGAUAGUCACAUAAUGCAGUUUCUUUACACAAACGCCACAAAGUAUAUUGUUCACUGCUAUACAUUGAGUAAAACCUAUUUCGUAUAAAUUGAAGCCUUUUAAACCACAUAUAGACUAUUCCGUGUCUAACAAUGACAAAGAAAUUUCAUUGGUAGAAUGUCGCUUACUAUUUGCUGAUGGAGAGCUUAAGUGACGAGGAUAA